RNAcentral lists this transfer RNA (73 nucleotides) under Dipodomys ordii (Ord's kangaroo rat). It matches the Rfam family "tRNA". From Rfam's summary of the family: Transfer RNA (tRNA) molecules are approximately 80 nucleotides in length. The record is from Rfam by way of RNAcentral. Lineage: Eukaryota; Metazoa; Chordata; Mammalia; Rodentia; Heteromyidae.
GGAGGCAUAGUGCAAAUGGUAGAGCACCUGCCUAACAAGUAUGAAGCCCUGAGUUCAAACCCCAGUACCACCA